Molecule: transfer RNA, 57 nt
Filed under: Heteronotia binoei (common prickly gecko)
Lineage: Eukaryota; Metazoa; Chordata; Lepidosauria; Squamata; Gekkonidae
Description: tRNA-Cys
Source: RNAcentral
AGUCCUGAAGCAGCAAAGUGCAAAUUUGACGCAGCACCCUAAAGGGUGCCGGGGCUU